UGGGUGAACGACCUGUGUGCCC
RNAcentral lists this non-coding RNA (22 nucleotides) under Arabidopsis thaliana (thale cress). Lineage: Eukaryota; Viridiplantae; Streptophyta; Magnoliopsida; Brassicales; Brassicaceae. The record is from RNAcentral.